This 301-nucleotide ribosomal RNA is filed under the name uncultured bacterium. RNAcentral's name for it is "partial 16S ribosomal RNA". It matches the Rfam family "Bacterial small subunit ribosomal RNA", at positions 509 to 807 of the family's 1533-position model. The record is from RNAcentral.
CAGCAGCCGCGGGAAAACGUAGGUGGCAAGCGUUGUCCGGAAUUAUUGGGCGUAAAGGGCUCGCAGGCGGUUUCUUAAGUCUGAUGUGAAAGCCCCCGGCUCAACCGGGGAGGAUCAUUGGAAACUGGGAAACUUGAGUGCAGAAGAGGAGAGUGGAAUUCCACGUGUAGCGGUGAAAUGCGUAGAGAUGUGGAGGAACACCAGUGGCGAAGGCGACUCUCUGGUCUGUAACUGACGCUGAGGAGCGAAAGCGUGGGGAGCGAACAGGAUUAGAUACCCGAGUAGUCCCUGUCUCUUAUAC